UUCCGUGUACGUAUGACAUUUAAAUGCCAAAAUAUAGAGGAAUAGUAUAUUUACCUUGUCUGAAAAGUUCAGUUCAAAAUAUUUAGGCGUUUGGACGUGAACGUCAAAGUCGCUUAUCCGAACACUAGCAUUUUUAUGACGUCUUUUCGUUGGCCACUUGAUAAUUGUGACUAUUCUAUACUGAUUGUUAACUUAAUCGAAUGGUAAAGUAUUUGUAUUUAAUAUUUAUAUGCAUAAAAGUUGUAUUUUAUUUUUAAUUUUAUUGACUGUGAUAUUGUUUUUAUUUAUGCAUAUAAUGUUUUUUUGUGAUAUGAUUUAGCCUGUCUCGUAAUAUUCACCAUAUGUUUGGCGCAAUGUAGCCCGGUUGGAGCUGAUAUGCCAUAAAACCACAUUUCAUUUCAUUUCACCCUGUUGGCGGUAAGCUAUAAUUUGAGAAAGGAAAACUGAUUGGAUGUUUAUUUUUACACAGCCAAUCGCUAUAGUUUACCGGAACAUCAGCCUAAAAUGUGAUUCAAUCGGGUCAAACUGAAAGUUGGGAGUUUGGUGUCUUGUUCAAUUCAUCAUGGAUAACCCUCCAAAACGUCAAAGAGAACGAACAGUCACAGAUAUUGCACAAAAAAGAAGAAAUAGUACAUGCGAGGUUACACAGCAUAGAAAAAGACGAAUGUGUGUAUUUAUGCUGAGAAGUAGCGAGAUGGAAAUUGGAAUGAUUUCAACAAAGCCAACUUCACGAAGACGUUGCCAAUCUGAACUAAUAAAAACUUUUAAACUGGCACACAGGAAAUAUAUUGAGUCAUUCCAUGCCAGUAAGUUCCAGUCCACUGGUUUACCAUGCAAAAUGUUUGUUGGUAGCAGUUGAUUUUAAUUUGCAUACAAAUCGAGAACCACUAAAAGGAGCUGACACAAACAUUAGAUAUAAAAAAAAAUACUCAAAAAGAUCGGAAUAUUGUCAGCAGUACCUUUAAUCUGGGGCAGUCAUACCCAGACCCAGCUGAUCCAACGAGAUAUUGUGAAGAGACAGACCAAAAAAUUUUAAGAAUGUUACAGAAUAUAAUAUAUUCUAACCAAAAUUAAAUACACAAUAUAAAACAGAAAUA
Molecule: long non-coding RNA, 1097 nt
Organism: Patella vulgata (common limpet)
Lineage: Eukaryota; Metazoa; Mollusca; Gastropoda; Patellidae
Exons: 4
Source: RefSeq, a predicted model, not a curated record